This 252-nucleotide ribosomal RNA is filed under the name uncultured bacterium. Its description in RNAcentral is "partial 16S ribosomal RNA". It matches the Rfam family "Bacterial small subunit ribosomal RNA", at positions 524 to 776 of the family's 1533-position model. The record is from RNAcentral.
UACGUAGGCAGCAAGCGUUGUUCGGAGUUACUGGGCGUAAAGAGUGCGUAGGCGGUGUCGCAAGUUCUGUGUGAAAUCUCCCGCUUAACUGGGAGGGUGCGCCGAAAACUGCGAUGCUGGAGUGUGGGAAAGGCAAGCGGAAUUCCUGGUGUAGCGGUGAAAUGCGUAGAUAUCAGGAGGAACACCGGCGGUGUAGACGGCUUGCUAGACCAUAACUGACGCUGAGGCACGAAAGCGUGGGUAGCAAACAGG